Melanotaenia boesemani (Boeseman's rainbowfish) is the source of this 2054-nucleotide RNA transcript. It is a transcript of the gene named protein phosphatase 1, regulatory (inhibitor) subunit 14Aa, with no coding region annotated. The record is from RefSeq and is a predicted model, not a curated record. The transcript is spliced from 9 exons. Lineage: Eukaryota; Metazoa; Chordata; Actinopteri; Atheriniformes; Melanotaeniidae.
GUGAGCUGCUUCACCAUGAGUCCGUGUGACAGUAAGUUCAGAAUCGGGUCCAGACUGGCAGUGAGGAAUCCACCAGGACGACAGAAGUCCCAGACUUCCCUCCCGUUAUUCCUGUUAUCCCACACAGAGAAAGCAGCCGUGUCCCGCAGUGCCGGCGUCGCCUCCCAGCUCCUCUCUCCUCCCUGCGGGUUAAAAGAAAAAAACAGGACAAACAAGUCGGAGGAGCUCACAACGGGAAUGGCUGCCCACGAGACCGGAACGACGUCUGCAGAAACGGAUGAGCUUCAUUUAUCCGAGCUGGGUUCUUUGGAUGAGCAGGGGAGCAGUAUCUCGAGGAGACAAGCCCGGGUCACCGUGAAGUACAACCGGAGAGAGCUGCAGAGGCGGCUCGACGUGGAGAAGUGGAUCGACGAGAGCCUGGACCGGUUGUACAAGGGCCAGGAGAGCGACAUGCCAGAGGAGGUGAACAUCGACGGCUUGAUUGACCUGCCUAAUGAUGAGGAACGAGUCCAGAAGUUAAAGGAGCUUCUUCACAAGUGCAGUAACAGCACAGAGACCUUCAUCAUGGAGCUGGUGGCCAAGCUAGAAGGAGUUCACAAACAGGAAGAGCUGCAAACUGAAGGCAUCGAACAUCCGGUCAUUUGCCACAGCUAUCAUCGUCAUGAGCCCUACCACUUCAACAACCCACAGCAUCAUCCACACCGUCCACACCACCACUUCCACCACACCCAAGGCAAAAACCAGAGCCUCUGAUGACCUCCGUUCCACAUAAACACACUGUUGGACAUGAAAAUGUAAGGGGUUACUUAUGUUGGACUAUGUGAGUAAAUGUCAAUGAAGGUUGGAAUAUAACACCUAAAAAAUGCUCUUUUCCUAUGACUGAUGCUAUUCUCAUAACUUCUUUCUGAAGCCAGCUUAGCAUAAUGAAAGAAACCAUGAGAACAGCCAGCGUUAGCAUGUUUAGAGACCUACAGAAAUCUGCUAACUAUUGCAGCUACAGCAGCUUCACACCAGCUGUAAACAUUUUGAAGUUGUUGCCAUGGGGGGCAUCUAUUGUCUUACAAUGGCAUAAAUGGGACUCUACAGGUUUUUUUCUUCUUCACUAUGCUAAUCUAGCUAGCCUCUCCUAGCUCAGUCUUUGCAGCUAACAGUUCGCAGCUGCUAUUGGCUAGUGCCUGCUAGCUUAGCUAGGCUGGCAGAUGCUAGCCCCUAUUUGUCCCCACCAGCUUCUCAUUUUCAUUAGUUCUUCACAGCGUAUGCCAGGUAUUUGUACAUACCACCCAGCAGAUAGUUGGAAAUGGUUUCUUUAGUUUUUAAUGUGAAACAUAGUUCUCAGCCGAUUUAAACUGACAUGGCUAAUUUUGCUCCUGACAUGUGUAACACUUAACAUGUCCAAACGUACAAAUCGUACAAGGAUAUUGAUAAGCGAGUUUUAGAGGAGCUGGCAGGCAGAUUUUGCUAUAUUUAGCCAGAAGAAGAGGUGCUGUUUAUUGUCUCAUGCCAUUUUGCUUAGUGAAGCUAUCCAGUUUCAGCUCUGAUAACAAAUAUGACAAGUUAUUUAAAUAAUUCUUAUUAAAGGAAAACAGAAAAAACCCUGUUUUUACAUAAACAGCUCAUUUUAUCUGGGUAGAUAACUGACAAUGACAAACGCAGUUAUAUGCAGCAUGAAAACAUGAUAUAUUUUUACCAGACUGGAAAGAAAUAGUCACUACUACGUCUUAUUUCACUUUAUUCAUAUUAGUUAACUGUAACAUUUCUAGCAUUUUAAACUAAAGAACUAUAUGCAGUGUUUCUGUAGGUGGGUUUAAAUUUGUUUAUUUCAAACUCCAAACUUUACAAAUUAUUUAAGAAUAUUAGGAAAUUGUUUAAGGAUUUUAGGACAUUCAAUGUGGUUUGUGACCCCUUAGUAUUGCUAAAGCAUUGUUGCAUUUUAAUUGUCACUCAACCCCUAUGUUUUUGAAUUAUGUUACAUUUCCAGUCAUGUCUCUUUACUUAAUUUCAUGCUGCAAAGAGAUGUUGGUCUUUUGCAGAAAAAGUAGAGAUGGGAAGAGCGU